CCCAAGGACCCAUGUCCAAUAGCGAGAAUGAAUGGCGGCGACUUCCGGGAGAAGCAGCGGGCACCCGGAUUGGGUUACCGCGGCGACGUCUGGCAAGAGAUGCAGAGAAUGGAAUCUAUGACCUUGAGAGUUUCAAACUCCAGGAGAACAAGCAACAGGGAGUACAAGAAAUCUAGAUCAAGUUUUGAACAAGCCAGCAUCAAUGCUACAGCAAGCAAGAGAUUAUUCAGGACUCCAUCCAGCCCAGCAAAAGGACUCCUCGGGCAGUGAUGGCCACUUUUGGCUAUGAACUUGGUGGGAUCAAUGCUAUGUAGGGACUGAAUUCAAUUUUGAACCUAAUUUCCAUUUCUUUCUCUUCUCCACCCCCUCCACUAAAAUGAUAUAAUGGGAAUUAUGAUCCAUGCAUGAUGUUGGGAGAAAUGUUUUUACAUUUGUUCUUGUUAUAUCGUUGAGAUAAAUAUCCCUUUGUAAAAGCUAUGUGUUACUAAGUGGUUAAGGGCUAGUCACUGUCCUCCUAAUAAACGGGGAAAAUAGCUGGUGCGAGUUUGAACCUAUAGCAAGAGAAAGAGACAUCUGAGGAGAAAAUAUAACCUGGCCCCAAGUGAAGCCAGAGCUUGUUUGUUGCUUUUGUUAUUCAGAACUUGACAGACAUUAACAAAAAUGAAUAUUUUUAUAUGAAAAUGUACAUGGUUCAUGAUACAGAUUCUCUGCAUGGUUUGGGUUCACUAUGAGAAUUCUGGAGCAGUUUUUGGUCAUGAAGUCAAUUGCUGAAGAGAUUUAGUGUUUUAAUAUGAUUUGAUAGACCCUUAGUGGUCCUUUAGUUGUCACGCACUCCCCACAACAGGUUUUUUUUUUUUGGGGGGGGGGGAAGGCAGCUCUGCACCUAUUAGAAGAAUUCAGUGUUCAGUUGGUAUUUUCUGGUUUAUAGAUCUCCAUGUGGUAUAACAUGAUUUCAGUGAAGGGCCCUCCUCUACCUUGACUAGGGUAAUCCUACCUGCAUAGCAAUUGAUACCAGAUACCACAACUGCCCAAGCAGGAAUCUGACUGCCAUUUUCUCUUCAAUGGUUGUUUUUUCCUGAUUUUGAAGACUGAGAAAACCAGAUGAACCUUGACAAUUUGAAAGUUUUACUCAUCGGGGAGUUGGCAGCAGCAUUGUCCUCCCAAGCCCCAUUUCCCAGUGAUGGUGUCUCAUGACAGGAUAAGUUUCUGCAUUGGGGAAAGCAGCCACCAAGAGGUCCCAGCUGAAGUGAAUGAAAAUACAGCUAAGUUGUGAUUAAUGCAUAUUGUAAAAUGGUACCGGGUCUCACUUAAUGCCAUAAUUCAAUUAAUAUGACAAGUGUGAAUUAGUCAAUUUGCACUUUCCUAUUAUUGAGUAUGGAUAUAAUAUACUGCUAUAUACCAUAUUACCAACAGUUGUGUUAAUUUUAAAAAAUAUAUUAACAAAAAGAACAAAAGGAAGAAUGUUUCCGAUGGAAAUAAUGUCAGCAUCAAAAGGAAGGGGCUCGCUAUUACAUUAGAACAAAAUUUUGAUGUAACUGAACAACAUGAACAUGGUCAUAGUAACUUUAAAAUAGGACACGAUGUCUGGAUGCCUGAAUCUAUAGUACAAAAUAUUAUAAAAUGCACAGGAAAAAUAAAAGAAAAAGACAAAUCUGUGUCAACUUUUUGUGGUUUGCAAACAGUUAUGAGGAAUAGAAGUGUUAGAACAGUAGAAAUAGAGUAUCUUUUAGCUGUAAGUAUUGAAGAUUGCAGUGAAAAACACAUUCUUCUUAGCAGAGCAGCUAUUCAGACAAAAGCUUCAAAUUUAAGGCAGGAAAAGAAAGUAGAAAUGAAGUGGCUAGUGAAGAAACUCAUACUGCAAGCAUUGGUUGUUGCUUGAGUUCAGGGGCAGCUAGUUGGUGUAGUGGAUAGAGUACCAGCCCUGAAGUCAGAAGGACCUGAAUUCAAAUCUUGCCUCAGAUAUUUAAUGCGUCCUGGCUAUGUUACCCUGGGCAAGUCACUUAACUCCAAUUGCCUCACUAAAAAAAAAAAAAAAAUUGAGUUCAAUUGCUUAACAUUAAAAUAGUAAAAGUGGCCAUUACAGAUUAGUUUAUGGAAUCUGUUUUAAUCUUUUAAAAGGCAAGUAAACUGAUCUAUAAUUUUUUAAUAUGGAUAAAGACCACUUAUUUUGGAAAAGGAUAUGUUCUACAACUUACAUUUCUAACAAAAAAUAAAACAAAACUCAAUUUGAACCUGAAGUACUUUCAGUACUUUGAUAGGCAAAUAAGAAAGCAUGGUGAUAAAAGCUGCUUUCAAAAAAGUUUUUUUUUUAAGUACAGCUUUUUAUUUACAAAACAUAUACAUAGGUAAUUUUUCAACACUGACCCUUGAAAAAUCUUCUCUUCCAAAUUUUCCCCUCCUCCCCAUCCCCUCCCUUAGGUAACAGGUAGUCCAAUACAUGUUAAAUAUGUUAAAGUAUAUGUUAAAUCCAAUAUACGUAUACAUAUCUAUACAGUUAUUUUGCUGCACGAGAAAAAUCAGAUCUAGAAAGAGAAAAAAACCUGAAAAGGAAAACAAAAAUGCAAGCAAACAACAAUAAAAGAAGUGAAAAUGCUAUGUUCUGAUCCACACUCAGUUCCCACAGUCCUCUCUCUCGGUGUAAAUGGUUCUCAUCACAAGAUCAUUGGAACUGGCCUGAAUCAUCCCAUUAUUGAGAAGAGCCACGUCCAUCAGAAUUGAUCGCGGUAUAAUUGUUGUUGCCAUGGACAAUAAUUUCCUGGUUCUGCUCAUUUCACAUAGCAUCAGUUCAUGUAAGUCUCUCCAGAUCUCUCUGAAAUCAUCCUGCUGGUCAUUUCUUACAGAACAAUAAUAUUCCAUAACAUUCAUAUACCAUAAUUUAUUCAGCCAUUCACAAACAUUUUUACACAUGUGGGUCCCUUUCCCUCCUUUAAGAUCUCUUUGGGAUAUAAGUCCAGUAGAAACACUGCUGGACCAAAGGAUAUGCACAGUUUGAUAACUUUUUGAGUAUAGUUCCAAAUUGCUCUCCAGAAUGGGUAGACUAGUUCACAACUCCACCAACAAUGUAUCAGUGUCCCAGUUUUCCCACAUCCCCUCCAAUAUUCAUCAUUAUUUUUCCUGUCAUCUUAGCCAAUCCGAGAGGUGUAUAGUGGUAUCUCAGAGUUAUCUUAAUUUGCAUUUCUCUGAUCAGUAGUGAUUUGGAGCACCUUUUCAUGUGACUAGAAAUAGUUUCUUCAUCUGAAAAUUGUCUGUUCAUAUCCUUUGACCAUUUAUCAAUUGAAGAAUAGCUUGAUUUCUUGUAAAUUUGAGUCAAUUCUCUAUAUAUUUUGGAAAUGAGGCCUUUAUCAGAACCUUUGAAUGUAAAAAUAUUUUCCCAGUUUACAAAAAAACAGUUUUCAGGGGUUUUUACAGCCAGCUGUCCUAAAAAACUGUAUAUGUAAAAUAUGUAUGUAUAGUGGGCACAUAGUAUAUUUCUGGCCCAAAUGUGGAAUCUGGCACACUACAUCUCCAAAAAGAGCACAGAAUGGGAAUCAGGUUAUAUGACAAACCUUCCAGCAGCCUAUCUGUGGAGAGGAAAGCAGAUUCUGGACUUUUCUCCAAAAGGAGUAUCAGGCUAGAAUUUUAAGGACUGUUCCAAAAAUUUAAAUACAGUUUUAAGUCAUUUUAAGCUAUUAAAGCUUAAAACUAGACAAAGACAGAGCACUCUGUUGUCUACCACACAAACUCUGUAGACUGGAUGUACAUUAGGGUAGAAUAAAAGGCACUUUCCCUCAUUGCUUUCAAAAGGAUGAUAACACCUAACUUACUACCAACAGUUUAGUUCCUUCUCACCAAAUACUAGUAAAAGAUCAAUAAAGCUAUUUAUCAAAGUAAGCAGUAAGUGGUAAUCAGAGAAGAUAUAAAGAUUAGAAUAAACUCUUCCCCACUGUCACUUCCAAAAAAUAAAUCAGAUAAAUGCCUUCUUCAAAUGGGAAAGAGAAAAGUCUCAGCUCAGUUAAAAACUCUCCCCAGGAAGUCUAGUCUUAGUCUCUGAUAGAAUAACCAAAAACCAAAUAGUAUACUGGGGGGAAGCAGAGCUGUUUCCCCAAAUACCUAAGGCUCUUAAAUCUCCAAUCUAUAAAUUGAAAGUCUGAGCUUUGCCUCUCAUGAUUAUCUUCGACUCCUCCUCUGUUGCUUACCCUAUAAACUAUCAUGGAGGUCUCUCAACAAUCAGCAGUUUACAUUCCUUUUUGUACAUGCAACAUCACAAAAACUAUCCCCCAGAAUAUAUUUGAGUAGAAGUGGAGUUAAACAUAUGUAAAAUCAGUGAUCUCUAUUAUGCAUUUUGUUAAGUAUUUAGUAAACUUGACAUGUUUCAAAACUCUCCUUGUUUCUCUCAGAACUGCCUUAUGUUCUUUCCUAUGCAUUUUAAAAAUUAAAUUCUUCAGUGAUGCUUUUUUUAUUAUUAUAUUAGUUCCCCAUUUCCCCCAAAUUCUGUCCCUAACUUUUAAAAAGGCUUUCCUUGUUACAAAUAAGCAGAGAUAAGCAAAACAAAUCCACACGUUGGUCAUAUCUGAAAACCUAUACUUAUUCUGUAACUCUUUUCAUCUCUCUGAUAGCAGGUGGUUAAUAACUUUUAUUAUCAGUCCUAUGUAUUGUAUUGAUCAGAGUUCUUAAGUUGUUUUUCUUCACAAUGCUAUAGUCAUAUAAAUUAUUCUUCAGGUUUUGUUUACUUCAUUCUGCAAAGUUCAUACGUGUUUUCCCAGAUUUCUCUGAAUCUAUCCAUUAAGUAAUUUCCUAGAAUGAAAUAAUAUUUGACCAUAUUCCUACACUAUAACUUGCUCAACCAUUUCCCAAAUGACAUAUACACACUUUGUUUCCAGUUCUUUUAUAUUUUCGAACACAUGAGCCCUUUCCCUCUUUCUGUAAUCUUUUUGAGGUACAAGCUAGAAGUGAUAUUGCUAGAUCAAAGUGGUGUACUCCAGAGGUAUCAAACAGGUGAUUGGCAAGCUUGUUUGCAUGUGACCUACACCACUGUUUUAAUAUAGCCCACAUGAGAUUAGCAUGUAUUUAGAAAAUAUUUAACAAAAUUAACAAAAAUACAACAAACCAUAUUAUAUUUUAAAAUUAAGUCAAUAUGUAGCCCAUAGGGAUCCUUAUGAAUGGUUUAGUGACCCCUGUUUCUACUUUAAUGUGAUAUCACUGGUAUCCACAGAUGAAUGACUUUAGGAAUAUUAUUCCAAAUGACUUUCCAGAAUCUAUAUUUAUUUAUUCAAAAAUUUAUGGUUAAUGUCAACUCAAGACAAGUUAACAGAUAACUUAGUCUAUAUUGUGUAUAUAGCAAGGCAAGAGAAAAAUACAGUGCUGCUUGCAUGUUUUAAAAGUAAUGACUUUAAAAAUUAAAGAUGAAUGUUGAUAUUUUAAAAAUGUAUUUGGUGAAAAAACAUAGAAGAUAAAAUCUUAGCUAAGUUUUUUUGAGUAUUAUAUAAAUAUAUAUAUGUAUACAGACACACACACAUAUAUACAUGCACCUGUACACAUACACACACACACACACACACACACACACACAUACAUGUUUCUAGAAGUGUAUGGGAUGUUCAGGAGGAUUAGUAUCUCUGCUGUGAGGGCUUACUGAGCCCUUUUCAGUGUAACUCAUUCACCUUUGGUGUUCAUUUACUAUCCAACUUUCACCUGUGGCCCAAGAAGCUGUAGCAUGCACAACAGUCACAACUCUGUAAAACCUUGGCAGAAGAGCUAAACCAGAUUGAGGGUAACCAACAGACCUCAAAUCAUUCAUUGAUUUAGGGGGAUGUCUAUCCAAGCACAUGAAGACUUCUCCUUAGUGGAAUGGGUAAAUGAGAAAAAUUUGUUCUAGUAGCCAUAAAAGCAGAGAAAGCAGGCACUGUGGAUCAUUUAAGAAUUUGGUCAGGCAUUAAAGACAUCAAGGUCAUCCACUGCAUCCCAAGAUGUUGCCAGUUAUCGACUUUUAUCUUGCCACUGAACUUCAGAUUCUGGAAGAGAGAAUUAGGCUAGUGACUUUGUGCAAUUUUGUCUCACUUAAAUCCUAUUCACUCACAAGUCAAAACAUCACUCCAUGAUGUCUUUGGACCCAUUAGAAAAAAAGAACAAACAACAAACAACCUUGAUUAUAAAUAUUAUGUUGUGGUCAGCAAGACUGCAUUUAAUAUUUCUGCAUUUGCAUAUGUCCUAAGAUGGUCAAUUUUUGCAAAGAUACCAUUCAUAUCUAAGAAAUAUGUAUAUUAAUUUCUAUUUCCAUUCAGUAAUUUCCAGCAAUCUCUUAUUUCUAACUUUCACAAAUUCUAUUCAGAUAAAUAAUUUCUUUUUUGUUUAUCUUCUUGAUUAAAUUUGUCUAGUUCUGAAAGAAACAUCAAGAUUUCCAACUUUUAUGGUUUUAUCACAGUUUGAUUAACUUUUUCUUUUAAUGCUAAGUUUAGAUGCUAAGUUUGGCCCACAUAUAUUAAGUACUGCUAUAAAUUCAUUGUCUAUGGUCGUUAAACAAAAUGUAACAUCUCCUUUCUUUACUCAAAUAUAUUUUCACUAUUUCUUUAUCUAAAAUAAUGAAUUUGUUAACCUUGCUUUUAUUUAAAGUUCACUUAAAGUAUAAUAAAUUUUGCUUUAGUCCCUCA
This is a long non-coding RNA of Antechinus flavipes (yellow-footed antechinus), 6626 nucleotides long. RefSeq lists it as uncharacterized. The record is from RefSeq and is a predicted model, not a curated record. NCBI's taxonomy places the organism in Eukaryota, Metazoa, Chordata, Mammalia, Dasyuromorphia, Dasyuridae. The transcript is spliced from 2 exons.